GCAUAUCAAUAAGCGGAGGAAAAAGAAACCAACAGGGAUUGCCUCAGUAACGGCGAGUGAAGCGGCAACAGCUCAAAUUUGAAAUCUGGCCCCAGGCCCGAGUUUGUAAUUUGCAGAGGAUGCUUCCGGUGCGGCGCCGUCCAAGUCCCCUGGAACGGGGUGCCACAGAGGGUGAGAGCCCCGUCGGGUCGGCCGCCAAGCCUAUGUGAAGCUCCUUCGACGAGUCGAGUAGUUUGGGAAUGCUGCUCUAAAUGGGAGGUAGACCCCUUCUAAAGCUAAAUACCGGCCAGAGACCGAUAGCGCACAAGUAGAGUGAUCGAAAGAUGAAAAGCACUUUGAAAAGAGGGUUAAACAGUACGUGAAAUUGUUGAAAGGGAAGCGCUUGUGACCAGACGUGCGCCGGGCGUUCAGCGGGCGUUCUCGCCCGUGUACUCGCCCCGGCGCAGGCCAGCGUCGGUUCGGAUGGGUGGACAAAGGUGCUAGGAACGUGGCUCCCUCGGGAGUGUUAUAGCCUGGUGCGUCAUGCCCCCGUCCGGACCGAGGUUCGCGCUCUGCAAGGACGCUGGCGUAAUGGUCCCCAGCGGCCCGUCUUGAAACACGGACCAAGGAGUCGAGGUUUUGUGCGAGUGUCUGGGUGUCAAACCCGCACGCGUAAUGAAAGUGAACGCAGGUGGGAGCUUCGGCGCACCACCGACCGAUCCUGAAGUUUUCGGAUGGAUUUGAGUAAGAGCAUAGGGCCUCGGACCCGAAAGAUGGUGAACUAUACUUGGAUAGGGUGAAGCCAGAGGAAACUCUGGUGGAGGCUCGCAGCGGUUCUGACGUGCAAAUCGAUCGUCAAAUCUGAGUAUGGGGGCGAAAGACUAAUCGAACCAUCUAGUAGCUGGUUACCGCCGAAG
RNAcentral lists this ribosomal RNA (896 nucleotides) under Menispora tortuosa. RNAcentral describes it as "LSU rRNA". It matches the Rfam family "Eukaryotic large subunit ribosomal RNA", at positions 38 to 966 of the family's 3401-position model. Lineage: Eukaryota; Fungi; Ascomycota; Sordariomycetes; Chaetosphaeriales; Chaetosphaeriaceae. The record is from RNAcentral.